CAGUCGCCGCGGUAAUACGUAGGUGGCAAGCGUUGUCCGGAAUUAUUGGGCGUAAAGGGCUCGCAGGCGGUUUCUUAAGUCUGAUGUGAAAGCCCCCGGCUCAACCGGGGAGGGUCAUUGGAAACUGGGAAACUUGAGUGCAGAAGAGGAGAGUGGAAUUCCACGUGUAGCGGUGAAAUGCGUAGAGAUGUGGAGGAACACCAGUGGCGAAGGCGACUCUCUGGUCUGUAACUGACGCUGAGGAGCGAAAGCGUGGGGAGCGAACAGGAUUAGAGACCCCUGUAGUCCCUGUCUCUUAACA
RNAcentral lists this ribosomal RNA (301 nucleotides) under uncultured bacterium. RNAcentral's name for it is "partial 16S ribosomal RNA". It matches the Rfam family "Bacterial small subunit ribosomal RNA", at positions 509 to 808 of the family's 1533-position model. The record is from RNAcentral.